This 857-nucleotide ribosomal RNA is filed under the name uncultured bacterium. RNAcentral's name for it is "SSU rRNA". It matches the Rfam family "Bacterial small subunit ribosomal RNA", at positions 524 to 1381 of the family's 1533-position model. The record is from RNAcentral.
UACGAAGGGACCUAGCGUAGUUCGGAAUUACUGGGCUUAAAGAGUUCGUAGGUGGUUGAAAAAGUUGGUGGUGAAAUCCCAGAGCUUAACUCUGGAACUGCCAUCAAAACUUUUCAGCUAGAGUAUGAUAGAGGAAAGCAGAAUUUCUAGUGUAGAGGUGAAAUUCGUAGAUAUUAGAAAGAAUACCAAUUGCGAAGGCAGCUUUCUGGAUCAUUACUGACACUGAGGAACGAAAGCAUGGGUAGCGAAGAGGAUUAGAUACCCUCGUAGUCCAUGCCGUAAACGAUGUGUGUUAGACGUUGGAAAUUUAUUUUCAGUGUCGCAGCGAAAGCGAUAAACACACCGCCUGGGGAGUACGACCGCAAGGUUAAAACUCAAAUGAAUUGACGGGGACCCGCACAAGUAGUGGAGCAUGUGGUUUAAUUCGAAGAUACGCGCAGAACCUUACCAACACUUGACAUGUUCGUCGCGACUCUAAGAGAUUAGAGUUUUCGGUUCGGCCGGACGAAACACAGGUGCUGCAUGGCUGUCGUCAGCUCGUGUCGUGAGAUGUUGGGUUAAGUCCCGCAACGAGCGCAACCCUCACUUUUAGUUGCCAUCAUUAAGUUGGGCACUCUGAAAGAACUGCCAGUGAUAAGCUGGAGGAAGGUGGGGAUGACGUCAAGUCCUCAUGGCCCUUACGUGUUGGGCUACACACGUGCUACAAUGGUAUCUACAACAGGAAGCAAGACUGCGAAGUUAAGCAAAUCCCUAAAAGAUACCUCAGUUCGGAUUGCACUCUGCAACUCGAGUGCAUGAAGCUGGAAUUACUAGUAAUCGUGGAUCAGCGUGCCACGGUGAAUGCGUUCCCGGUGUCU